Molecule: transfer RNA, 72 nt
Filed under: Canis lupus familiaris (dog)
Lineage: Eukaryota; Metazoa; Chordata; Mammalia; Carnivora; Canidae
Also listed under: 1 other name
Rfam family: tRNA
About the family: Transfer RNA (tRNA) molecules are approximately 80 nucleotides in length. Their secondary structure includes four short double-helical elements and three loops (D, anti-codon, and T loops).
Source: Rfam by way of RNAcentral
GCCUGAUUGGCUCAGUCAGUAGAGCAUGUGACCCUUAACACAGGGUCAUGAGUUCAAGCCCCAUAUUGGGCA